This 532-nucleotide ribosomal RNA is filed under the name uncultured bacterium. RNAcentral's name for it is "bacterial SSU rRNA". It matches the Rfam family "Bacterial small subunit ribosomal RNA", at positions 8 to 524 of the family's 1533-position model. The record is from RNAcentral.
AGAGUUUGAUCAUGGCUCAGGAUGAACGCUGGCUGUGUGCCUAAUACAUGCAUGUUGAACGAAGCUAAAAGUGCUUGCACUUUAAGACUUAGUAGCGAAUGGGUGAGUAACACGUACUUAACCUACCCCCAAGUUUGGGAUAACGUUUGGGAACGAACGCUAAUACCGAAUACGUAUUUUUAUCGCAUGAUAGAAAUAUAAAAGGAGCUUCGGCUUCGCUAGGGGAUGGGAGUGCGCUACAUUAGUUAGUUGGUAGGGUAAUGGCCUACCAAGACUAUGAUGUAUAGCGGGGCCGAGAGGCUGAUCCGCCACACUGGGACUGAGAUACGGCCCAGACUCCUACGGGAGGCAGCAGUAGGGAAUUUUCCACAAUGAACGAAAGUUUGAUGGAGCGACACAGCGUGCAGGAUGAAGGUCUUCGGAUCGUAAACUGCUGUUAUAAGGGAAGAAGAACUUUAGUAGGUAAUGACUAGAACUUGACGGUACCUUAUCAGAAAGCGACGGCUAACUAUGUGCCAGCAGCCGCGGUAAU